CUGAAAUAACAUAACUCACUGAAUUUUCCUAAUUUUGGAAGCUAAGCGGGGUUGUGCCUAGUAAGUACUUGGAUGGGAGUCUGUCAGGCAUACCAUGACUUUUCCCAUA
Molecule: ribosomal RNA, 109 nt
Filed under: Pogona vitticeps (central bearded dragon)
Lineage: Eukaryota; Metazoa; Chordata; Lepidosauria; Squamata; Agamidae
Source: RNAcentral